Molecule: unclassified non-coding RNA, 231 nt
Filed under: Hevea brasiliensis (rubber tree)
Lineage: Eukaryota; Viridiplantae; Streptophyta; Magnoliopsida; Malpighiales; Euphorbiaceae
Source: RNAcentral
GCCAUAAUUUACAGUGCAACUGCUGCAUUGCCUUCUGGCACUAUUGUGGUAAUAUUCCUUAUAUGGACAUUGGUAACGUCUCCAUUACUUGUAUUGGGUGGCAUUGCUGGCAAAAAUAGCAAGGCUGAGUUUCAAGCCCCUUGUCGCACCACAAAAUAUCCUCGGGAGAUUCCAAUAAAAUUGCCAUGGUACCGGAGUGCUCUUCCUCAGAUGGCAAUGGCAGGUUUUCUG